GAUGGAUAGGGGGUUUGGAGAGGAAGGUCCCCCACAUUGGAAUUGAGACACGGUCCAAACUCCUACGGGAGGCAACAGUGAGGAAUAUUGGUCAAUGGGGCGAGAGCCUGAACCAGCCAAGUAGCGGGAAGGAUGAAGGUCCUACGGAUUGUAAACUUCUUUUAUAAGGGAAUAAAACGCUCCACGUGUGGAGCCUUGUAUGUACCUUAUGAAUAAGCAUCGGCUAACUCCGUGCCAGCAGCCGCGGUAAUACGGAGGAUGCGAGCGUUAUCCGGAUUUAUUGGGUUUAAAGGGAGCGCAGACGGGAUGUUAAGUCAGCUGUGAAAGUUUGCGGCUCAACCGUAAAAUUGCAGUUGAUACUGGCGUUCUUGAGUGCAGUUGAGGUGUGCGGAAUUCGUGGUGUAGCGGUGAAAUGCUUAGAUAUCACGAAGAACUCCGAUUG
Molecule: ribosomal RNA, 442 nt
Filed under: uncultured Bacteroidales bacterium
Lineage: Bacteria; Pseudomonadati; Bacteroidota; Bacteroidia; Bacteroidales
Description: bacterial SSU rRNA
Rfam family: Bacterial small subunit ribosomal RNA
Source: RNAcentral